RNAcentral lists this unclassified non-coding RNA (433 nucleotides) under soil metagenome. RNAcentral describes it as "partial contains 5.8S ribosomal RNA, internal transcribed spacer 2, and large subunit ribosomal RNA". The stretch from base 1 to 120 matches the Rfam family "5.8S ribosomal RNA", at positions 35 to 154 of the family's 154-position model. The record is from RNAcentral.
GAUGAAGAACGUAGCGAAAUGCGAUACGUAAUGUGAAUUGCAGAAUUCAGUGAAUCAUCGAAUCUUUGAACGCAUAUUGCGCUCUCUGGUAUUCCGGAGAGCAUGCUUGUUUGAGUAUCAGUAAACACCUCAACUUCCAUAUCUUUUUUGAAAUGGGAGUUGGACUUGAGGGAUCCCAACGCUUUUCCUCACCGAAAAGUGGCGGGUUACUUGAAAUGCAGGUGCAGCUGGACUUUUGUCUGAGCUAGAAGCAUAUCUAUUUAGUCUGCCUAAAAAACAGAUUAUUACCUUUGCUGCAGCUAACAUAAAGGAGAUUAGUUCUUGUGCUGACUGAUGCAGGAUUCACAAAGACAGGCUUCGGCCGACUUUGUAAACUCGAUCUCAAAUCAAGUAAGACUACCCGCUGAACUUAAGCAUAUCAAUAAGCGGAGGA